This 467-nucleotide ribosomal RNA is filed under the name uncultured bacterium. RNAcentral describes it as "bacterial SSU rRNA". It matches the Rfam family "Bacterial small subunit ribosomal RNA", at positions 329 to 792 of the family's 1533-position model. The record is from RNAcentral.
GCCCAGACUCCUACGGGAGGCAGCAGUGAGGAAUAUUGGUCAAUGGGCUUACGCCUGAACCAGCCAAGUCGCGUGAGGGAAGACUGCCCUAUGGGUUGUAAACCUCUUUUGUCAGGGAGCAAUUGGCGCUACGUGUAGCGUUAUCGAGAGUACCUGAAGAAAAAGCAUCGGCUAACUCCGUGCCAGCAGCCGCGGUAAUACGGAGGAUGCGAGCGUUAUCCGGAUUUACUGGGUGUAAAGGGAGCGUAGGCGGUUUAGCAAGUCAGAAGUGAAAGCCCGGGGCUCAACUCCGGGACUGCUUUUGAAACUGUUGAACUAGGUUGCAGGAGAGGUAAGUGGAAUUCCUAGUGUAGCGGUGAAAUGCGUAGAUAUUAGGAGGAACACCAGUGGCGAAGGCGGCUUACUGGACUGUAAAUGACGCUGAGGCUCGAAAGCGUGGGGAGCAAACAGGAUUAGAUACCCCCGUA